CAGUCGCCGCGGUAAUACAGAGGGUGCAAGCGUUAAUCGGAUUUACUGGGCGUAAAGGGCGCGUAGGUGGUUAUGUAAGUGAGAUGUGAAAUCCCCGGGCUCAACCUGGGAACUGCAUCUUAUACUGCGUAGCUGGAGUGCAGUAGAGGGUAGUGGAAUUUCCGGUGUAGCGGUGAAAUGCGUAGAUAUCGGAAGGAACACCAGUGGCGAAGGCGGCUACCUGGACUGACACUGACACUGAGGCGCGAAAGCGUGGGGAGCAAACAGGAUUAGAUACCCCUGUAGUCCCUGUCUCUUAUAC
Molecule: ribosomal RNA, 301 nt
Filed under: uncultured bacterium
Lineage: Bacteria
Description: partial 16S ribosomal RNA
Rfam family: Bacterial small subunit ribosomal RNA
Source: RNAcentral